UUCCUUCUGCUUUCUUUCUUCUCUCUCCUCGAUGCUCUUCCUCUCUAAAACCCAAAACGCCAACGGUCUUCUCCGCUGCGAUGCGCCACCGUUCGACUGACCCAGACGGUUAGACCACCACUUAAAUACUACUAUUCUCGUCCUCUUCAAAACCCAUGUUUUGAAUGUGGGAUUUAGUCAUUUCUUCUUUGGAUUGAAAAUUGGAGCAGAUCGAGCAAUUGGCGAUUUGCAGCACUGCCGCCGAGCUCCGGCGACACUGUUUCCUUGUCUUUUGGUAAGCUCGACUCCUUACUUUCAUUUCCAUUUCAAUUUUUUCACCAAUUUCCCAAAUCAGAACCAAACUUGAACUUCCGUCUUUCUGCCAUUAUCUCCAUCGUAUCACCACCAUUGACCUCGUCUUUCCGACGAGUUUUCCUUAAUCCCAAAUGAGCUUGGGACGAACAUGGAGCUUCGUGCAGGAAGCAGAGAGCUCCGAGGAGCCUUGGAGGACAAGUAGUGGCCCAGAUUGGGAGUGGAGGGAUGCAGCACCGACGGGUUUCAUUGCGGAGCCUCAUUGAGAUCUUGGCCGGAAUUGGUGAUCGGAAAAAGAAGGAUAAAACCCUGGUUUUUACCAAGACAAACUUACCCCUUUAUCAUUUACUACCAUGUGAAAUUACGAUUUUGACCCUA
This is a long non-coding RNA of Argentina anserina (silverweed cinquefoil), 669 nucleotides long. RefSeq lists it as uncharacterized. The transcript has 2 exons. Lineage: Eukaryota; Viridiplantae; Streptophyta; Magnoliopsida; Rosales; Rosaceae. The record is from RefSeq and is a predicted model, not a curated record.